RNAcentral lists this long non-coding RNA (609 nucleotides) under Homo sapiens (human). RNAcentral describes it as "non-protein coding lnc-CASP3-4:1". The record is from RNAcentral. Lineage: Eukaryota; Metazoa; Chordata; Mammalia; Primates; Hominidae.
AUGUCUCUUCCGGGCGGAGGUCGUGGAGGCUUUGAUCGAGGUGGUGGAGGUGGCGGUUUCAACCGCGGCAGCAGCAGCAACCGCUUCUGAGGUGCAGGCGGUGGAAAUAUCAGAGGUGGCGACAGGGGAGGAUUUGGAUGAGGGGGUGGCCACGGAGGCUUUGACAAAGGCCAAGGCCAAGGACCUCCAGAACGUGCAGUCUUGUUAGGAGAGUUCCUGCAUCCCUGUGAAGAUGACAUAGUUUGUAAACGUACGGCAGAUGAAAAUAAGGUGUCUUAUUUCAAUGCUCCUGUUUACUUAGAAAACAAAGAACAAAUUGGAAAAGCGGAUGAAAUAUUUGGACAACUUAGAGAUUUUUAUUUUUCCGUUAAAAUGUCAGAAAACGAGAAGGCUUCAUCCUUUAAAAAACUCUGGAAGUUUUAUAUAGACCCAUAUGAGCUGCUGCCACUGCAGAGGUUUUUACCUCGGCCUCCAGGUGAGAAAGGACCUCCAAGAUGUGGUGGCAGGGGAGGCCGAGGAGGAAGAAGGGGAGGUGGCAGAGGCAGUGGCAGAAGCGGUGGUUUUAGAGGUGGAAGAGGAGGUGGUGGUUUCAGAGGGAGAGGACGUUAA